GUGAAUCAUCGAAUUUUUGAACGCAAAUUGCACUCUCUUCGGAGAGUAUGCCUGUUUGAGGGUCAGCCUAAAAAAAAUCGACAUGCUCACUGUUUCGCGGUGACGUUAGUCGGAAAUUGGGUCUUCUAAAUCCUUUUGGUUUUACGCGCCUUAAAAUUUUUUUUACGAUUCUGCAACCGUAUCUAAGAUUUUCUUCUUACACGUUUACGUAAAUCGAUCUUUAUUAGACGUCGCCGUUGCAUCG
This 244-nucleotide unclassified non-coding RNA is filed under the name Glomus sp. RNAcentral describes it as "partial contains 5.8S ribosomal RNA and internal transcribed spacer 2". The stretch from base 1 to 65 matches the Rfam family "5.8S ribosomal RNA", at positions 84 to 154 of the family's 154-position model. Lineage: Eukaryota; Fungi; Glomeromycota; Glomeromycetes; Glomerales; Glomeraceae. The record is from RNAcentral.